RNAcentral lists this non-coding RNA (48 nucleotides) under unclassified sequences. Its description in RNAcentral is "DUF3800-XI RNA". It matches the Rfam family "DUF3800-XI RNA". From Rfam's summary of the family: Actinobacteria, Firmicutes, Proteobacteria, Spirochaetes (1 example). The record is from Rfam by way of RNAcentral.
UGGGCUGGCUGAAAAGCCCUGGUCCACCGAAUGGCGGGGAUUUCCCCG